CCUACGGGUGGCAGCAGUGGGGAAUAUUGGGCAAUGGGCGCAAGCCUGACCCAGCAACGCCGCGUGAAGGAAGAAGGCUUUCGGGUUGUAAACUUCUUUUGUCAGGGACGAAGCAAGUGACGGUACCUGACGAAUAAGCCACGGCUAACUACGUGCCAGCAGCCGCGGGAAUACGUAGGUGGCAAGCGUUAUCCGGAUUUACUGGGUGUAAAGGGCGUGUAGGCGGGAAAGCAAGUCAGAUGUGAAAACCAUGGGCUCAACCUGUGGCCUGCAUUUGAAACUGUUUUUCUUGAGUACUGGAGAGGCAGGCGGAAUGCGGGGUGUAGCGGUGAAAUGCGUAGAUAUAAGGAGGAACACCAGUGGCGAAGGCGGAUUGCUGGACAGCAACUGACGCUGAGGCGCGAAAGCGUGGGGAGCAAACAGGAUUAGAUACCCGGGUAGUC
This 443-nucleotide ribosomal RNA is filed under the name uncultured bacterium. RNAcentral describes it as "partial 16S ribosomal RNA". It matches the Rfam family "Bacterial small subunit ribosomal RNA", at positions 338 to 795 of the family's 1533-position model. The record is from RNAcentral.